CCCUUAGAUGUCCUGGGCCGCACGCGCGCUACACUGACAUGUUCAACAAGCCUCCUAGUUCGACAGGAUUUGGGAAAUCUUUGAACGCAUGUCGUGAUAGGGAUAGAUCAUUGCAAUUAUUGAUCUUGAACGAGGAAUUCCUAGUAAACGCGAGUCAUCAGCUCGCAUUGAUUACGUCCCUGCCCUUUGUACACACCGCCCGUCGCACCUACCGAUUGAAUGUUUCGGUGAAGAUUCCGGAUAGGACUUUUUUGAUUUAUUUCAAUUUUGUCUUAAAAGCUAUCUAAACCUCAACAUUUAGAGGAAGGGGAAGUCGUAACA
Molecule: ribosomal RNA, 321 nt
Filed under: uncultured eukaryote
Lineage: Eukaryota
Description: partial 18S ribosomal RNA
Rfam family: Eukaryotic small subunit ribosomal RNA
Source: RNAcentral